UCCUCACUCUGGCGGCGUGCUUAACACAUGCCAGUCGAACGGAAAGGCCCUGCUUUUGUGGGGUGCUCGAGUGGCGAACGGGUGAGUAACACGUGAGUAACCUGCCCUUGACUUUGGGAUAACUUCAGGAAACUGGGGCUAAUACCGGAUAGGAGCUCCUGCUGCAUGGUGGGGGUUGGAAAGUUUCGGCGGUUGGGGAUGGACUCGCGGCUUAUCAGCUUGUUGGUGGGGUAGUGGCUUACCAAGGCUUUGACGGGUAGCCGGCCUGAGAGGGUGACCGGCCACAUUGGGACUGAGAUACGGCCCAGACUCCUACGGGAGGCAGCAGUGGGGAAUAUUGCACAAUGGGCGGAAGCCUGAUGCAGCAACGCCGCGUGCGGGAUGACGGCCUUCGGGUUGUAAACCGCUUUCGCCUGUGACGAAGCGUGAGUGACGGUAAUGGGUAAAGAAGCACCGGCUAACUACGUG
This 468-nucleotide ribosomal RNA is filed under the name uncultured bacterium. Its description in RNAcentral is "partial 16S ribosomal RNA". It matches the Rfam family "Bacterial small subunit ribosomal RNA", at positions 33 to 507 of the family's 1533-position model. The record is from RNAcentral.